GCCCAGAUAGCUCAGUUGGUAGAGCACACCCUUGGUAAGGGUGAGGUCGGCAGUUCAAAUCUGCUUCUGGGCUCCA
RNAcentral lists this transfer RNA (76 nucleotides) under endosymbiont of Ridgeia piscesae. Its description in RNAcentral is "tRNA-Thr". It matches the Rfam family "tRNA". Rfam says of the family: Transfer RNA (tRNA) molecules are approximately 80 nucleotides in length. RNAcentral also lists the same sequence under 61 other names. Lineage: Bacteria; Pseudomonadati; Pseudomonadota; Gammaproteobacteria. The record is from RNAcentral.